GUCAUAAUUAUUCUUGAGUCUCUUCCUGAAGAGUUUGAACAAUUUAAGGUCAACUAUAACUCUCUAAAGGAAAAAUGGCAACUCUCUGAGAUGACCGCAAGGAUCGUCCAGGAGGAAGAGAGGAUCAUGAGGCAGAAGAAAGACCAUGUCUUUCAUGUUGGCUCUAACAAGAGAAAGCAUGACGGGCAAGGUUUCCCUAAGCCUCAGAAAAGGCAAGUCAAGAAAGAAGGCACUAAGCCAUUCAACCCUAAGGCAUUCAAGGGUAAAGAAGCCGGUGGUUCUUCUUCUGCUCCUAGCAGCUCCACUGCUGGAAAAAAUGCUUGUAACUUCUGUAAAGAGGAGGGACACUAUCAAAGGGACUGCCCAGGCUUUCUAAAAUGGAUGAACAAAAAAGGUAUUGAUGAAAUUACUUUUGUAGAU
Molecule: ribosomal RNA, 420 nt
Filed under: Triticum aestivum (bread wheat)
Lineage: Eukaryota; Viridiplantae; Streptophyta; Magnoliopsida; Poales; Poaceae
Description: partial small subunit ribosomal RNA
Source: RNAcentral